GCUUAGGGACCCCGCAGCUGUAUCACGUAUUUCGCAGACAAUUAGCAGAAGACAAAUAUUGUGCAAAUAUUGCUGUCAACUGUCCAUUUCGUAUUACGGACUUACAACAAAAAAGCAGAUCGCGGACCAUCACUAGUGCUGCCUCUACAGAGCGAUUUGUGAAACUUUAGUGCAUUCUUUUCCAUACAACUAACAACAACUGGCUUAAAGUCGGUAUUACGGAUGCUUUUGUCUGCCACACAACAGCAGAUAAUUAGCAAUUUCGUUUGUCAAAUUUGCGACACCUUUUGUAUCUGGUGCUGAAUUGUUGCUAACUAUCUGCAAGUGUAAAAUUUGUAAAAUUAAAUUAUUUUAACUUGAUUUAGGUAUGUACUAUGGACAGAGCUCAAAUAAUAAAUGGGGCUUUGGAGUCUAAGGAAAUUAGGUCGGAUACAUACGAAUCAGUGCGUUUGCGACGCUGUCUUCGUGAUCAAGCCUGACCCCUUAAUCUAUCGGAAAGUUUGUUCAGAACACAUUACAGAAUUUCGAAACAUCAAUAUUUACAAUUGUGCUCUGAAUUAAAGCUGUUAAUAACCUAGAUCAUCAAGACGAACAAGAAUAGAAAGCAAAAUGCAAGGUGUUAACAGCAUUGCAAAAUUUCAUACCAGAAACCUGUGGGAAUGAGCUUUUUGCAUUUUGAGUUAAACUGUAGUAAAUUCAAUGCCAUUAGGGAAGUGGCUAUGGCAUUAAACAAUCUUCCAGUUUUAUUGAAACUUUUAAAGUUUCUGCAAACCGUACAAUGGGUCACAAGUUAUUAUAAAUGGGUUUUACAAUAAAUUUGGCUUUCCUGGGGUUUCGGGAUCUAUAGAUGGCACUCAUUUGCACUUAUCAGAUCUUCUGUAUAUGAAGAAAGGUUUUAGAACUGCAAGCAUUAUCAUUUCAAGAAUGUGCAAAUAAUCUGUGAUAGUGAUCCAUUUUAAGUAUUGAUGCAACAUUUCAUGAUACAUUUGUCUGGCUUAUCACAACUGAAUAUGCCUAUGCAGGACCUGCACCAUAAUAGUAAAAAAGUUUGGUUUUUAGGCAAGUAAAACAUCAUGAGCUCUGUCUCAGUAACCUGACUACAAAAUAAUACUCAAUCUAAAGGUAUAUUUAAAACUGGGAAAGCCGUUAAUAUAUAGUACUAUAGUAAUGUUUAUUGUCAUACCAGGAACACUGUUGACCAUUGUGAGUAUUGAAAGCCAGUUGGAGAUGCUUGUUGGUACAUAGAGUACUGCAUUAUGAUCAUCAUAUGAUGGCCAAGACCAUAAUUGUUAGCUUGUAUUGCAUAACAUGGCAAACACACAUGGGUUUCCAGUGCCCCAACUCUCUGACGAAGAUGCUGAAAUUGAUGUUUCUUAUCAAAUUCAUAACAUUGUAUUUUUUGGGAGAGAAGAGGAAACACAGCACAUAGCACCAUGUCAAUAUUCAACGGUGGUUCAAUUGGAUUGUGGAGAACAGACAUUAAAUUUAGUCCAACCUCUGUAUUCUAGUAAUUUUAUGUAGAUAUUUUUAAAACUGCUCUUCUUAAUUAUGUGAACUGAGAGGGCAAGAAUAGCCUAAUUAUUUCUGCCUAUAAUUUUUUAAUUGUGCUUAGUGGAAAUAUACAUAUUUCCUUAACUUUUUUGUGUUUAUAGUAAAGGAUGGAUUCAUAAGUAUUUGAAAGCAAAAUUGUGAGGGUGUUUUAUUAAGAAAAUUUUUUAAUCUGUUGUGCUCAAUUUGUUCUGUAUCAUUUUAUCUUUAUGUUAACCCCGUUUCUAUGUUGUGUUGUUAUAUAUAUUAUUGUAUAUACUGCUGUUUUAAAUAAUAGAAUAGAAUGAAUAACAAAUCGACUAGUAAUUCAUAAUUCUUCUAGAUUUUGUUGGAUACUUACAUGAAUAUUACUUACAAAAUGAAAAACAUAAUUCAUAAUUUAGACAAAAUGCAGAUCAACCACCACUGAUUUUUGUUCAUUGUGAUAAUAAUAAUAAUAUAAAUAUAAAUAUUUAACUGGUCCCGUGAUAAGUACGUAAAGAAUUGUGUUACAGGUACCAGAUAACGGAAAUAAAUGUAGGAUUUUUAUUAUACACAUACAUAUAUUUAAUAUACAUCCAUAACCCUGGAAAAGACAUUUAUAUUUAUCAUACAAAUAUCUUCCCUUGGCGGCAUUCGAACCCGCGACCCCUUUGUGUAGCGACCAUGUCACUUACCACUACACCAGACGGCCGUUAGAUAAGUUUGAUAAUUAUUAUUUUUGUGUAAUUUUGUUUUAUUUGAAUAAUAAUUCUUAAAUUAGGAAA
Molecule: long non-coding RNA, 2294 nt
Organism: Bombyx mori (domestic silkworm)
Lineage: Eukaryota; Metazoa; Arthropoda; Insecta; Lepidoptera; Bombycidae
Exons: 5
Source: RefSeq, a predicted model, not a curated record